GAAUGAUGAAUGAAACAAAGAAGAAAAUGCUCAUGGAGAACGUAAAAUGAGAAAAAGGGCAGGAAGAAGUGUCUUUUACUGUGUUUUUGCAAUUUUCUGUUGUUGUCA
RNAcentral lists this non-coding RNA (108 nucleotides) under Heterosigma akashiwo. The record is from RNAcentral. Lineage: Eukaryota; Raphidophyceae; Chattonellales; Chattonellaceae.